This 23-nucleotide non-coding RNA is filed under the name Arabidopsis thaliana (thale cress). The record is from RNAcentral. Lineage: Eukaryota; Viridiplantae; Streptophyta; Magnoliopsida; Brassicales; Brassicaceae.
UUCCUAAGGUUUUGGUAGUGCCA